Molecule: long non-coding RNA, 416 nt
Organism: Perca flavescens (yellow perch)
Lineage: Eukaryota; Metazoa; Chordata; Actinopteri; Perciformes; Percidae
Exons: 2
Source: RefSeq, a predicted model, not a curated record
GUAUCUCACAGGAUAUGAGAAGAAAUUUCCACAGGCACAUUAACAUUUUCCAGUAGAUGCGAGUGACUUUGUGAGCAGAAUGAUGUUCUCCCUUCUUAGGAGACCCACACUGACCUGGUCCACGUUGAUGAAAGACGUUCAGCAAAAUCACAGGUCAACCAUCUACAGCAAGCCGCCCAAAGAAAACAUCGGGCCAGUGCAAUCUUUCUUUGCCAUAUGUGUGUUUGCUGUGACUCUCUUGGGCCCGGCUGGAUGGAUCUUGCAUCACAUCCCAGACUACCGACAGAGAUCACCUCCACAAACCUGACUCCCAUGCACACAUGUUACUGUGUGUGGAUUUUUCCAAUGUGUAUGUCAUGAAGGGAAGUAAAACUUGAUGAUGAAACUGUUUACCCUCUAUAAAGACUUUGAUAUAA